CUUCUAUAGAAUGUUGUCUCAGAUUUACCGUUAUAAAUUAAAGUUUAGAUACUUUAUUGUUACAUGUCCUAAGUUGAGGUACCGUCCAUAUAAUUUAUCCUAAAGAUGAGGAGUUCAACUUGUUUAGCCAAAGAGGAAAACUGUACACGCAACAAAUGGUUACAACAUAAAACAUUAUAUCAUGAAUUGCUUCAUUUUCUGUA
This 203-nucleotide unclassified non-coding RNA is filed under the name Hevea brasiliensis (rubber tree). The record is from RNAcentral. Lineage: Eukaryota; Viridiplantae; Streptophyta; Magnoliopsida; Malpighiales; Euphorbiaceae.